UACGUAGGUGGCAAGCGUUGUCCGGAUUUAUUGGGUUUAAAGGGUGCGUAGGCGGUUUCAAAAGUCUGUUGUUAAAGCCCACAGCUCAACUGUGGAUCGGCAAUGGAAACUGUGAGACUAGAGAGUGGUAGGGGUAGAGGGAAUUCCUAGUGUAGCGGUGAAAUGCGUAGAUAUUAGGAAGAACACCAGUGGCGAAGGCGCUCUACUGGGCCAUUACUGACGCUGAUGGACGAAAGCUAGGGGAGCGAAAGGG
Molecule: ribosomal RNA, 253 nt
Filed under: uncultured bacterium
Lineage: Bacteria
Description: partial 16S ribosomal RNA
Rfam family: Bacterial small subunit ribosomal RNA
Source: RNAcentral